UCUCUUGUUGAAAAAAGAAAUUAAUAAAUAGUUUUAGGUAAUUUUUAGUAAUUAUAAUUUUAAAGCAAAUAAAUGAUGUAUUAAAUACAUACACAUGCAAAUUUUUAAUAGUUAUUACUUAUACAAACACACACACCCAUUACAUUCAAAACUUAUUUUCUUCAUUGUUUAAACAGACUUUGUGAAUUGAUAAUUUAUGAUAAAAAUGGAACCUUCCAAUUCAUUGGAAGAAAAUAAAGGAAUCCUUGAGAAAAAAAAAAUAAAAAAAAAAAAUAAAUAAAUAAAAAAAAAAUAAAAAAUUCCUUGAUUUAAUAUAUAACAUAUGUACAUACAAUGGAUCAAUAUAAAAUUACAUUUGGGGUUAGCCUUUAUAGUGUUUAAUUUUAAAAUCAACUAUAUUUCUAUAUAUUUUAUCCAAAUCAUUAGGGUUAAAAUUGACAUUAUGAUACACAGCUUUAAGUCUACUGUUCCAUACUAAGUUUCUGUAUUCUGAUAAAAUUAUUAAGUUAAAAUUAUGUAUCAUCUUGUGUUUAGCUUUAGGCAACUUGUUUAAGAGAAUAGAUAAAUUAAUAUUCACAUAGGUUUCACAAUUUCCUUCUAAUGAAUCUCUUACAGUAUUUCUAACAUUACUAAAUAAAGAACAUUCUAAAUAUAAAUGCUUUUCAUUGUCACCAUUAACAGAUUGACAAAAUUUACAAUAUUUUACACCAGGUUUUUUCUUUGAAAAUGGAGUCAUCCCAAAGAUAAGUCUGUAAGAUAUUUCUUUAGCUUUUGUUGCAAUGUGUUUGUUAUGAAGGUUAGUAAAAGUGUCUUUAAAAUCUGUUAUAUUUAAAUCUUUUCCCCAUUUAAUCCUAAUAGCUAAAUUUUCUUGUAACUGUUUUUUUAAUGUUGUGUAUAUUUCUUUAUAUUUAUUGUGUAUUGAAGGUUCAUUGCCUGAAAGAGUUCUUGAGAUGGAUCUAUAAAAAGGAUAUAACAAGGCAACGCUAGAGUUUUUUUCAUGACUGUACAUGAUAAAAUCUCGAAUGAAAUGUGUCAUUCCAUCAAUACUCCUGUCGGGGUGGGUGCAGUAUUGGUCUUGUCCUACGAGUUGGGGAGUGAAGGGUUUAAGUCGUUUAAAAAUCAUUUUUGUCAGUUGUUUAUAGUCUGUAUUGAGUAGUGAGAUGGGCCUGUAGUCACUUGGAGAACUGUUAUCUGUUGUUUUUUUGGCUAAUAGUGUAAUAUAUGCUUCGUUGAAAUUUUUUGGAAGUUGUCCUGUUUUAACAGCGUCACUAUACAGUCGCAGUAAUAGAGGACUUAUUAUGGGAAAAAAUGUCUUAUAGAAUUCAAAUGUCAGACCGUCCGGUCCGGGAGAUUUGUUGUUUUGUGUCGAGUCUAGUGCAGUUUGGAGUUCGUCUAGAGUUAAUGGGGUCUCCAAAAGUUCUUCAUCGGUCUGCUUCAACUGUUUACAAUAUUUUAGAAAACAUUCUUGAGCCUCCUUGUUUAUAGGUUCCAACUGGUAGAUAUUUUUAAAAUGACUUAUGAAAACAUCUUUAAUUUUGUCUUCGUCUUCAACUUUUGAGCCAUGUAUAUCAAGAACACUUGUUAUGCAUUUACUAGACUGAACAUUUUGUUCGAUCGACAAGAAAAGUUUGUUUGGGCCUUCUUGACUUAAAUAGUUCCUGCAUCUAACUUCAGCUCCUUUGUAGAUGUAGUUAUUUAAUUCUUCCAACUUUAAUGAGGCUUGAGUUCUAUCUAUUUCGUCCUCAGCGUGUAAUAGUGUGUGCUUCAGUUUCUCUAGUUCUUGUUUUCUACGUGUUUGUACUAGUGUUGAUAUGACCUGACAUUGUUGUUUUAUUGAGUUUUUUUACUAGUGUCCAUGUUGUUGUUAGGUUAAAGUUUGGAUUGUUUGUAUCUUGUAAGCAAGAAUUGAGUGUGUUUGAGAUUAAUUCUAUAAAAAGAGGUAUUUCUAGAAGAGAAUCAUUAAAUUUCCAAUGACUAGUUUUCCUUGUCUUUUUUUUAAUUUUCGUACUUAUCGUAACUAUUAUUGCCUUAUGGUCUGAAUAUUCCAGAGACUCUUCUAGAUGAGCUACCUUACUUAUAUGAUACUCGGUUGGUACGUAAAUUCUAUCUAGUCUGGAAGUUACGGGAUGAGCUUUAUUCACCGAAGUAGUGUCCUGACCUGUGGGAUUCACACUCCUGUAUGCAUCCUGUAACUUAAAUUCACACUCAAUGUCUUUCAAGAAAUUAUUAAUAGUAGUGUUCAUCUGUGAAGGAAGAUUUACCGUUGUUGUGUACUGCUUGUCUAGUGUGGACGUGAUGUAAUUAAAAUCCCCUCCUAAAAUCAAACUAUCCCCUCUAUAUGUGUCGUGUAAUUUUUCACUCAAAUAUUCAAAAAAUUCCCGUUUCUCUGUUCUUUUUGUUGGUGCAUAAAUGUUAGCCAGUGUAAUUGUUUCAUUUCUUGUUUCUACUUUAAUGAUGACUACUCUCCCUUUGUUGUCACUAUACUUAUGGACUAUUUUAAACCUAUCUGAUACCUGAAAAAUGGCUACCCCCCUGCAUC
Molecule: long non-coding RNA, 2539 nt
Organism: Biomphalaria glabrata
Lineage: Eukaryota; Metazoa; Mollusca; Gastropoda; Planorbidae
Exons: 2
Source: RefSeq, a predicted model, not a curated record